This 512-nucleotide ribosomal RNA is filed under the name uncultured bacterium. RNAcentral describes it as "bacterial SSU rRNA". It matches the Rfam family "Bacterial small subunit ribosomal RNA", at positions 34 to 518 of the family's 1533-position model. The record is from RNAcentral.
CGCUGGCGGCGUGCCUAAUACAUGCAAGUCGAACGGUCUUUCUAUGGAAGCUUGCUUCCACUGAGAAGAUAGUGGCGAACGGGUGAGUAACACGUGGGUAACCUGCCCAUAAGAGGGGGGAUAACAUCCGGAAACGGGUGCUAAUACCGCAUAGUUUUCUUGAUCGCAUGAUUGAGAAAGGAAAGACGGCCUUUGUGCUGUCGCUUAUGGAUGGACCCGCGGCGUAUUAGUUAGUUGGUGAGGUAACGGCUCACCAAGACGAUGAUACGUAGCCGACCUGAGAGGGUGAUCGGCCACAUUGGGACUGAGACACGGCCCAAACUCCUACGGGAGGCAGCAGUAGGGAAUCUUCCGCAAUGGACGAAAGUCUGACGGAGCAACGCCGCGUGAGUGAAAGAAGGUUUUCGGAUCGUAAAACUCUGUUGUCAGAGAAGAACAAGUUGGAGAGUAACUGCUCCAGCCUUGACGGUAUCUGACCAGAAAGCCACGGCUAACUACGUGCCAGCCGCCGC